This 721-nucleotide small RNA is filed under the name Pongo abelii (Sumatran orangutan). RNAcentral describes it as "retained intron". The record is from RNAcentral. Lineage: Eukaryota; Metazoa; Chordata; Mammalia; Primates; Hominidae.
UGGAGCACUACCUUUGUGAGCAGUGUGACCCAAGGCCUGUGGACAGGGAGGUUCCCAUGAUCCCUCGGCCCCACUAUGCCCAACCUGGCUGUGUCUACUUCAUCUGUUUGCUCCGAGAUGACUUGCUGCUUCGUCAGGGUGACUGUGUGUAUCUGAUGAGGGAUAGUCGGCGCACCCCUGAUGGCCACCCGGUCCGUCAGUCCUAUCGACUGUUAUCUCACAUUAACCGAGAUAAACUUGACAUCUUUCGCAUUGAGAAGCUUUGGAAGAAUGAAAAAGAGGAACGGUUUGCCUUUGGUCACCAUUAUUUCCGUCCCCACGAAACACACCACUCUCCAUCCCGUCGGUUCUAUCAUAAUGAACUAUUUCGGGUGCCACUCUAUGAGAUCAUUCCCUUGGAGGCUGUAGUGGGGACCUGCUGUGUGUUGGACCUUUAUACGUAUUGUAAAGGUAAGUGAUCUGGGCUAGUUAAAAAAUGACCUCGGCCAAGUGCAAUGGCUCACGCCGGUAAUCCCAGCAGUGUGGGAGGCCGAGGCAGGCAGAUUGCUUAAGCCCAGGAGUGUGAGACCAGCCUGGCCAAUGUGGCAAAACUGCCUCUGUAACCGGGCGUGACAGUGUAGGCCUGUAGUCCCAACUACUGGGAGGAUUGCUGAGCCUGGGAGGCAGAGGUUGCAGUGAGCCAAGAUCGCACCACUGCACUCCAACCUGUGCAACAGAAUGA